UCGGCGGCACCGGCCAGGGAGCCGGGCGGAGGCUGCAGCCCCUGGCCCGGCACUGGCCAAGACACACGUCUUCAGCAAUUUUUGAUUUUGCGCCGGAGUGCAGAUCAAUCUUCACGAGGAGGUCUCCUUUAGGCACUGGAAGGUGCUGUAAGGUCUCCCUGAAGCCUUCUCUUCUGCAGGCUGAAUAGCUCCAAUCUCUCAGUCUGUCUUCAUAGCAGAGGUUCUCCAGGCCUCUGAGCAUCUUCGGGGCCUUCCUCUUGACUCAAUCCAACAGGUGCUUGUCUUUCUUUGCGACUCCACAGCUGGAUGAAGCACUGCAGCUGGGGUCUCACAAGAGCAGAACAGACAGGCAGAACCACCUCCAUUGAUCUGCUACUCUUGCUUCCUUUGAUGCAUCUCAGGAUACAGUUGACCUUCUGGGCUACAAGUGCAUAUUGUUAACUCACCAAACUUCUUGUCCAGCAAUGUCCCCAAGUCCUUUUCCACAAGCCAAGUCUCAAUCCAUUCUCCACACAGCCUGUAUUUGUGUUUGGGAUUGCCCUGACCCAGAUGCAGCACCUUGCGCUUGGCCUUGCUGAACUUCAUGAGGUUUGCAAAGGUCCACCUCUCAAGUUGUCCAGGUGCUGCUGGAUGGUAUCCCUUCCUUAGUUUGUGUUGAUCACAUCACUCAGUUUGGUGUCAUCAGCAAAUCUGCUAAGAGUGAACUCUGUCCCUGUGUCCAUGUUGCCAACAAAGAUGCUGAACAUCACCAGUCCCAAUACCAAUAACCAAGGAACACUACUUGUCACCGGUCUCCACUUGGACUACCAAUUCACUUCCCUCAUAUCAAAUUGUUAGUAAAGAUUUCCUGAUCAAAGUUUGAUUUUUUUUGGAUGCCAGUUCAGAGUUCAUGUUCACAUCCUUCUAGGACAACUUUAACAAAUGUAGGGAGGGAAGGUGCUUCUGUUACAUGUGCAUUCUUAUUAAACUUCAACAAUACAGAAUCCUAGCAAACUAAAUUAAUGAGAAGAUGUGCUCAACUGUGUAAAAUCUUGGGAGAACUGGGUAAUGUGGACUACUUUCACUUGAAUGAUAGGGUCUUUUUUAAUUAGUAUUUACUAUUACAAUAGACAAAUCCUCAAAAAGUUGCUGCAUUUAACCGCAAAGAAAGUCUUAAGGCUGCAAUGGAAAAAGAUUGAUCAAUAUUGGAACUAACAAAUGGAAUGUGAAAAUGCGUUAUUACAGCCAUGUACUCCAUUGCUGGCAUGGUGAUCAGUGGCAGAAACAAUUCAUCAUCACAGCACAAAGCAAUGUCUGUAACGCAGCUUCACUUGUUUCGUCUUGUAUGAUGUAUACAAGCGUCAAGGAAAGUUCAACAUCUGCGAUGCUGAAGCUUUGUGAUAGUCAAACAUUAUGAUGGGUUUUCUAUCAAACUAAAAAGAGUUCAAGACUCAAUACUUUGCACAGAACAAGUGCACAGCAGCAGCAUGUGUCAUAUACAAUCUUACACAGUCUCACUUCUUCAGCCUCCAAGUCACUUUGAACAAGUAGAAGGCUUUUGAAGUCUGACUUUGUGUCACAAGGCAAAGAAGAAAUAUAUCCUUUUAUCUGAGAAUUCAUCUCUGACCAGAAAUAAAGACUUGCUGCUCACAA
Lonchura striata (white-rumped munia) is the source of this 1632-nucleotide long non-coding RNA. RefSeq lists it as uncharacterized. The record is from RefSeq and is a predicted model, not a curated record. NCBI's taxonomy places the organism in Eukaryota, Metazoa, Chordata, Aves, Passeriformes, Estrildidae.